UACGGACCAGGAGACAGCAGGAUGAUGCUGACUGAUUUCCAUGGGAGUGUGUGUGUGUGUGUGGCAGAUGCCGUGUUUCUUGGGUGGGACUGGGCCUGCUGGCUGGGGCCGCCUUGGUCUGCUCAGCACAUGGCCGCUGGUGUCCCCACGAAAUGGAAAGGCCCAGGAUUAUCUCGCAGGAAGGAUGUGGAAUCUGUCCUCCCGCUCUUCCAGAAACACAGAGAUAAGCUGGUGGCUACUGGAGAGGUAAUGUGCUUUGAUUUCCGUGUAAUCAGAGUUUGAUUUGACUGUAUGCAAACUGUGUUAAAGUGCAUGUAACUCAUCGUAAUCUCUGGCUGCUUACAUUCCUAUGUACAUUCAUCUGAUAGAUGUGAAAUGAGUUGGACUUAAAUUUCAAAACUUUAUUUUCCUGGCUAAAAUCUGUGCAAGAGUAAAAUGAAAACUGCACAAUCCUGCAAGGCAGGGGGAGGGAGUGCUAUUAGGAGAUGUCUGAAAUGCUGGCUUUCAGCAAUGAAACCUCUGUAGGGAAGCUAGAGGAGAUGCUUCAGAUCCUUACUAGGAAUGUUUUUGUAUCUGACACCAUAUUUUCUUUGUUUUUAUUAUUCGUAUGUUGCUGUGUUUCCAGACAAGUUGCCUUUUGGAGGGUGCUGUUUUCUGCUCUGUUUCUCCAUUGCUAAAAGCUUCUGCUGCUCUCUUAAGAAAAAUUAAGCUAACGUAGACAUUAAAUCCGCAAAGUUUGCAGGUCAUCACAUUUUGCAGAGUCUUAACCGGUUCCGUGUGUGGGUUGGGCUGGACUUCACUCCGUGCCUCGCGUCUAUGCCUCCGCAACGUGAGGAACAACGGAGCCCUCGCCCUGCAGCUGGCUGCAGCAGAACAAGCGGGCAUCAGUCAGAAGCCUCUCACCCACGUCUCCUUCAGCCACCAGGCUUUAACUCGGCUGGCCACCUGUUUCCUUCCACCACAGCCCCACAGGCACCCUUUAAGGAAUGCCAGGGAUUGUUCUGAAGUUUGAGUUUAUCCAAAUGUUCGAUGGCUUGAGAUCGGAAAACAAUACUUGCAAGCUCUUACAUCUGGGAGGGUGGUGUCUUCGCCAGAUGAGAGCUUGAAAAGUAUUCCUUUCCAGCUGUGUGGUGCUGAGAGUGUGGGUGACUUCCCAGCCUUCCCCCCCAAGGAGACCUCAUUUUACAGUUCUUCUUCACCUUUUUCUGCUAGUACCUGCACAGUCCUUUCAGUGAUAACUGGGUUAUGCUUCCCUGAUAAGACUGCUCGGGAUUUAGACACG
Molecule: long non-coding RNA, 1282 nt
Filed under: Anser brachyrhynchus (Pink-footed goose)
Lineage: Eukaryota; Metazoa; Chordata; Aves; Anseriformes; Anatidae
Description: lncRNA (ENSABRG00000015970.1)
Source: RNAcentral